AAACCCAAGCCAGUUUUAAGUGUUUCUCCACAGCAGUGGUUGACUGAAGGAGAUUCAGUGACUCUGAGGUGUGAAGUUAUAAAUUCAUCUACAGGCUGGACAUUCAGCUGGUUCACUGUACAGAGUCACUCCCCAGAUGGUUACCAGUUGGUGUCAAACAGCAGUGGAGGAUCUAAAGGCAUCUACACAGUGAGUUCAGUGACUGUGAAGCACACAGGAGUUUAUAUGUGCAGAGCAGAGAGAGGAGAUCCAGUCUAUCACACAGAGUACAGUAACACAAAGCCACUGUUUGUCAAUGACCGGAGAUGAUGUGAGAGGCAGACCAUGAGGGAUACAUGUCUCCUCUUGUACGGGCAGAAGUUCUCAUAAUGACCCUGCAGAUGUUCUGACUGACUUUGGAGUGCUUUUUAGGCUGUUUUAUGCCCUCUGUUUAGAGAAGACUUACUGUAAUUCUGUAUGUUCAGUCUGUGUGAUAAGUGAAUAAGUGAAUUAAAAGCUUUUGUUUUAAUGUGACUGAAGUUAAUAAUUUGUUAACAACACCAGCAUAAAUUAUUUGAUGAAUAAUUUAAAUUUUUUUUAUUAAAAAUUCGCAAAUAAUAAAUAUUAAUUGAAGAAACACAUAAUACAUUGAGUAAAUACUUAAAUUUUAAUUGACAGAGUCUUUGCUGUAAGUUUUUAAAGAUUCAACUGAUUAAAACAUUUUAGUUGAAUGAACUAUAAAGCUAAUUGAGCAAACAUACUUUUUUAUAUUUGAGUCAAAUUUGGGCCAACAAAAAAACUAUAAUUCAGGUAACACUUUGGAGACAGAAAUUGAGUGAACGUAAAAUUUCUGUUAGUCUGAAGUAGUGGAUUCCUGAUAUCUGGCUCCUUUUCAUUUCUGUAUAUAAUUUUCAAUGAUUUUGAAAUCAGAUACUUAUUAAUAUUUAUUGUCCCAGAAAUUAAAGUGAUUUGAAUAAAUUAUUUAUGCUUAUAAAGUAAUGUUAUUUAUAUAAUGUAUAAUUGUUCACUAAAAACUUUCUAUGUUCUAGUUCACAAUAUGCUUGUUUCUCUUUGUUAAAAUCACAAAUAAAACAAUUACUUCUUGUCAUAGUCCUUAAAUAUAACUUUCUGUACGAAAUUCUAGGUGUGCUCUGAACUUGACAUCCAUGUGUGGACGUUUUCUAAGUUUAUCUAUAGCUUAAUCAUUCAACAUCACGAAGUUUGACAUAAUGACAUAGUUUAAUUUUAUUUGUUAAAGUACAAAUACUUCUGUAUUGAGUAUGUGUGAGAAGAUCGU
Long non-coding RNA from Paramisgurnus dabryanus, 1276 nucleotides. RefSeq lists it as uncharacterized. The record is from RefSeq and is a predicted model, not a curated record. NCBI's taxonomy places the organism in Eukaryota, Metazoa, Chordata, Actinopteri, Cypriniformes, Cobitidae.